Molecule: ribosomal RNA, 301 nt
Filed under: uncultured bacterium
Lineage: Bacteria
Description: partial 16S ribosomal RNA
Rfam family: Bacterial small subunit ribosomal RNA
Source: RNAcentral
CAGCAGCCGCGGGAAUACGAAGGGGGCUAGCGUCGCUCGGAAUCACUGGGCGUAAAGGGUGCGUAGGCGGGUUUUUAAGUCAGAGGUGAAAUCCUGGAGCUCAACUCCAGAACUGCCUUUGAUACUGAAAGUCUUGAGUAUGGGAGAGGUGAGUGGAACUGCGAGUGUAGAGGUGAAAUUCGUAGAUAUUCGCAAGAACACCAGUGGCGAAGGUGGCUCACUGGCCCAUAACUGACGCUGAGGCACGAAAGCGUGGGGAGCAAACAGGAUUAGAUACCCGCGUAGUCCCUGUCUCUUAUAA